This 329-nucleotide ribosomal RNA is filed under the name uncultured eukaryote. RNAcentral describes it as "partial 18S ribosomal RNA". It matches the Rfam family "Eukaryotic small subunit ribosomal RNA", at positions 1470 to 1796 of the family's 1831-position model. The record is from RNAcentral.
CCCUUAGAUGUCCUGGGCCGCACGCGCGCUACACUGAGUGUCUGAGAUACGAGUCUGCCUGGUCCAGCAAGGUCUAGGUAAUCGCUAAAAGACACAACAUGCUUGGGAUAGAUUAUUGCAAAUAUUAAUCUUGAACGAGGAAUUCCUAGUAAGCGCAAGUUAACAGCUUGCGUUGAUUACGUCCCUGCCCUUUGUACACACCGCCCGUCGCUACUACUGAUUGGAUGUUUAAGCGAGGUUCUCGAACUGCUAGCGACUUAGCUUCGGUGAGGUCGCAGUGUGGGAAGUGAACCUAGCUUUGGUGUCUAGAGGAAGUAAAAGUCGUAACA